GAUGAAGAACGUAGCGAAAUGCGAUAAGUAAUGCGAAUUGCAGAAUUCAGUGAAUCAUCGAAUCUUUGAAAGCACAUUGCGCCCCCUGGUAUUCCGGGGGGCAUGCCUGUCCGAGCGUCAUUACAACCCUCAAGCUCAGCUUGGUGUUGGGCCCCGCCGCCCCGGCGGGCCCUAAAGUCAGUGGCGGUGCCGUCCGGCUCCGAGCGUAGUAAUUCUUCUCGCUCUGGAGGUCCGGUCGUGUGCUCGCCAGCAACCCCCAAUUUUUUUCAGGUUGACCUCGGAUCAGGUAGGGAUACCCGCUGAACUUAAGCAUAUCAAUAAGCGGAGGA
This 329-nucleotide unclassified non-coding RNA is filed under the name soil metagenome. RNAcentral's name for it is "partial contains 5.8S ribosomal RNA, internal transcribed spacer 2, and large subunit ribosomal RNA". The stretch from base 1 to 120 matches the Rfam family "5.8S ribosomal RNA", at positions 35 to 154 of the family's 154-position model. The record is from RNAcentral.